Molecule: ribosomal RNA, 254 nt
Filed under: uncultured bacterium
Lineage: Bacteria
Description: partial 16S ribosomal RNA
Rfam family: Bacterial small subunit ribosomal RNA
Source: RNAcentral
GACGAACCGUGCGAACGUUAUUCGGAAUCAUUGGGCUUAAAGAGCACGUAGGCGGCGGCGUAAGUGAGGGGUGAAAUCCUAUCGGCUCAACCGUGGAAUUGCCUUUCAUACUGCGUCGCUUGAGGAAGGUAGGGGCAAGUGGAACUUCCAGUGGAGCGGUGAAAUGCGUAGAUAUUGGGAGGAACACCAGUGGCGAAGGCGGCUACCUGGACCGGUUCUGACGCUGAUGCGCGAAAGCGUGGGUAGCAAACAGG